GUGAGUCAUCGAGUCUUUGAACGCACAUUGCACCCUCUGGUAUUCCAAGGGGUAUGCCUGUUCGAGCGUCAUUACAACCCUCAAGCACUGCUUGGUUUUGGAUGUUACCAUUGUGGUGCAUCUCAAAAGUAUUGGCAGUAGCACUGCUUGGUUUUGGAUGUUACCAUUGUGGUGCAUCUCAAAAGUAUUGGCAGUAGCACUCGGCUUCUAGUUGUAGUAGAUUUCUCGCUUUGGAGUUGAAGUGUCUAAUUGCUAGAACCUCUAAUUUGUCAAAGGUUGACCUCGGAUCAGGUAGGGAUACCCGCUGAACUUAAGCAUAUCAAUAAGCGGAGG
Molecule: ribosomal RNA, 333 nt
Filed under: uncultured fungus
Lineage: Eukaryota; Fungi
Description: eukaryotic LSU rRNA
Rfam family: 5.8S ribosomal RNA (bases 1-71)
Source: RNAcentral